ACUUUAACACUGAGGCGUGAUGACGAGGCACUACGGUGCUGAAGCAACAAAUGCCCUGCUUCCAGGAAAAGCCUCUAAGCAUCAGGUAACAUCAAAUCGUACCCCAAACCGACACAGGUGGUCAGGUAGAGAAUACCAAGGCGCUUGAGAGAACUCGGGUGAAGGAACUAGGCAAAAUGGUGCCGUAACUUCGGGAGAAGGCACGCUGACAUGUAGGUGAAGUGAUUUACUC
This 232-nucleotide ribosomal RNA is filed under the name Salmonella enterica subsp. enterica serovar Infantis str. CVM N19983. Its description in RNAcentral is "partial 23S ribosomal RNA". It matches the Rfam family "Bacterial large subunit ribosomal RNA", at positions 1547 to 1772 of the family's 2925-position model. Lineage: Bacteria; Pseudomonadati; Pseudomonadota; Gammaproteobacteria; Enterobacterales; Enterobacteriaceae. The record is from RNAcentral.